Molecule: ribosomal RNA, 402 nt
Filed under: bacterium
Lineage: Bacteria
Description: partial 16S ribosomal RNA
Rfam family: Bacterial small subunit ribosomal RNA
Source: RNAcentral
UGGGGAAUCUUGCACAAUGGGGGAAACCCUGAUGCAGCGACGCCGCGUGAUUUAGAAGGCCUUCGGGUUGUAAAAAUCUUUUCUAUGGGAAGAAAAUGACAGUACCAUAGGAAUAAGGACCGGCUAAUUACGUGCCAGCAGCCGCGGUAAUACGUAAGGUCCGAGCGUUGUCCGGAAUCAUUGGGCGUAAAGGGUACGUAGGCGGGUAAGCAAGUUAGAAGUGAAAUCCUAUAGCUCAACUAUAGUAAGCUUUUAAAACUGCUCAUCUUGAGGUAUGGAAGGGAAAGUGGAAUUCCUAGUGUAGCGGUGAAAUGCGCAGAUAUUAGGAGGAAUACCGGUGGCGAAGGCGACUUUCUGGCCAUAACCUGACGCUGAGGUACGAAAGCGUGGGUAGCAAACAGG